CGUGCUAAUCUGCGAUAAGCGCCGGUAAGGUGAUAUGAACCGUUAUAACCGGCGAUACCCGAAUGGGGAAACCCAGUGUGACUCGUCACACUAUCAUUAACUGAAUCCAUAGGUUAAUGAGGCGAACCGGGGGAACUGAAACAUCUAAGUACCCCGAGGAAAAGAAAUCAACCGAGAUUCCCCCAGUAGCGGCGAGCGAACGGGGAGGAGCCCAGAGCCUGAAUCAGCAUGUGUGUUAGUGGAAGCGUCUGGAAAGGCGCGCGAUACAGGGUGACAGCCCCGUACACAAAAGCGCAUGUGCUGUGAGCUCGAUGAGUAGGGCGGGACACGUGGUAUCCUGUCUGAAUAUGGGGGGACCAUCCUCCAAGGCUAAAUACUCCUGACUGACCGAUAGUGAACCAGUACCGUGAGGGAAAGGCGAAAAGAACCCCGGCGAGGGGAGUGAAAAAGAACCUGAAACCGUGUACGUACAAGCAGUGGGAGCACAGGUUUACCUGUGUGACUGCGUACCUUUUGUAUAAUGGGUCAGCGACUUAUAUUCUGUAGCAAGGUUAACCGAAUAGGGGAGCCGGAGGGAAACCGAGUCUUAAUUGGGCGUUAAGUUGCAGGGUAUAGACCCGAAACCCGGUGAUCUAGCCAUGGGCAGGUUGAAGGUUGGGUAACACUAACUGGAGGACCGAACCGACUAAUGUUGAAAAAUUAGCGGAUGACCUGUGGCUGGGGGUGAAAGGCCAAUCAAACCGGGAGAUAGCUGGUUCUCCCCGAAAGCUAUUUAGGUAGCGCCUCGUGAAUUCAUCUCCGGGGGUAGAGCACUGUUUCGGCUAGGGGGCCAUCCCGGCUUACCAACCCGAUGCAAACUGCGAAUACCGGAGAAUGUUAUCACGGGAGACACACGGCGGGUGCUAACGUCCGUCGUGAAGAGGGAAACAACCCAGACCGCCAGCUAAGGUCCCAAAGUCAUGGUUAAGUGGGAAACGAUGUGGGAAGGCCCAGACAGCCAGGAUGUUGGCUUAGAAGCAGCCAUCAUUUAAAGAAAGCGUAAUAGCUCACUGGUCGAGUCGGCCUGCGCGGAAGAUGUAACGGGGCUAAACCAUGCACCGAAGCUGCGGCAGCGACACUGUGUGUUGUUGGGUAGGGGAGCGUUCUGUAAGCCUGUGAAGGUGGCCUGUGAGGGUUGCUGGAGGUAUCAGAAGUGCGAAUGCUGACAUAAGUAACGAUAAAGCGGGUGAAAAGCCCGCUCGCCGGAAGACCAAGGGUUCCUGUCCAACGUUAAUCGGGGCAGGGUGAGUCGACCCCUAAGGCGAGGCCGAAAGGCGUAGUCGAUGGGAAACGGGUUAAUAUUCCCGUACUUGGUGUUACUGCGAAGGGGGGACGGAGAAGGCUAUGUUGGCCGGGCGACGGUUGUCCCGGUUUAAGCGUGUAGGUGUGUGUUCCAGGUAAAUCCGGUUCACUUUAACACUGAGGCGUGACGACGAGGCACUACGGUGCUGAAGCAACAAAUGCCCUGCUUCCAGGAAAAGCCUCUAAGCAUCAGGUAACAUCAAAUCGUACCCCAAACCGACACAGGUGGUCAGGUAGAGAAUACCAAGGCGCUUGAGAGAACUCGGGUGAAGGAACUAGGCAAAAUGGUGCCGUAACUUCGGGAGAAGGCACGCUGACAUGUAGGUGAAGUGAUUUACUCACGGAGCUGAAGUCAGUCGAAGAUACCAGCUGGCUGCAACUGUUUAUUAAAAACACAGCACUGUGCAAACACGAAAGUGGACGUAUACGGUGUGACGCCUGCCCGGUGCCGGAAGGUUAAUUGAUGGGGUCAGCGCAAGCGAAGCUCCUGAUCGAAGCCCCGGUAAACGGCGGCCGUAACUAUAACGGUCCUAAGGUAGCGAAAUUCCUUGUCGGGUAAGUUCCGACCUGCACGAAUGGCGUAAUGAUGGCCAGGCUGUCUCCACCCGAGACUCAGUGAAAUUGAACUCGCUGUGAAGAUGCAGUGUACCCGCGGCAAGACGGAAAGACCCCGUGAACCUUUACUAUAGCUUGACACUGAACAUUGAGCCUUGAUGUGUAG
Molecule: ribosomal RNA, 2062 nt
Filed under: Salmonella enterica subsp. enterica serovar Chailey
Lineage: Bacteria; Pseudomonadati; Pseudomonadota; Gammaproteobacteria; Enterobacterales; Enterobacteriaceae
Description: partial 23S ribosomal RNA
Rfam family: Bacterial large subunit ribosomal RNA
Source: RNAcentral